RNAcentral lists this ribosomal RNA (468 nucleotides) under uncultured bacterium. RNAcentral describes it as "partial 16S ribosomal RNA". It matches the Rfam family "Bacterial small subunit ribosomal RNA", at positions 28 to 507 of the family's 1533-position model. The record is from RNAcentral.
GACGAACGCUGGCGGCGUGCUUAACACAUGCAAGUCGAACGGCAAGGCCCUGCUUUUGUGGUGUGCUCGAGUGGCGAACGGGUGCGUAACACGUGAGUAACCUGCCCUUGUCUUUGGUGUAACUUCAGGUAACUGGGGCUAAUACCGGAUAGGAGCUCCUGCUCCAUGGUGGGGGUUGGAACGUUUCGGCGGGUGGGGAUGGACUCGCGGCUUAUCAGCUUGUUGGUUGGGUAGUGGCUUACCAAGGGUUUGACGGGUCGCCGGCCUGAGAGGGUGACCGGCCACAUGGGGACUGAGAGACGGCCCAGACGCCUACGGGAGGCAGCAGGGGGGAAUAUGGCACAAUGGGAGGAAGCCUGAGGAAGAAACGCUGCGUGCGGGAUGACGGCCUGCGGGUUGUAAACCGCUGUAGCCUGUGACGAAGCGUGAGUGACGGUAAUGGGUAAAGAAGCACCGGCUAACUACGUG